AGCGAACGCUGGCGGCAGGCCUAACACAUGCAAGUCGAACGCGUGUAGCAAUACACGAGUGGCAGACGGGUGAGUAACACGUGGGAACGUGCCCUUCGGUUCGGAAUAACUCAGGGAAACUUGAGCUAAUACCGGAUACGCCCUUACGGGGAAAGAUUUAUCGCCGAUGGAUCGGCCCGCGUCUGAUUAGCUAGUUGGUGAGGUAACGGCUCACCAAGGCGACGAUCAGUAGCNGGUCUGAGAGGAUGAUCAGCCACACUGGGACUGAGACACGGCCCAGACUCCUACGGGAGGCAGCAGUGGGGAAUAUUGGACAAUGGGGGAAACCCUGAUCCAGCCAUGCCGCGUGAGUGAUGAAGGCCC
Molecule: ribosomal RNA, 363 nt
Filed under: uncultured bacterium
Lineage: Bacteria
Description: bacterial SSU rRNA
Rfam family: Bacterial small subunit ribosomal RNA
Source: RNAcentral